RNAcentral lists this ribosomal RNA (253 nucleotides) under uncultured bacterium. RNAcentral's name for it is "partial 16S ribosomal RNA". It matches the Rfam family "Bacterial small subunit ribosomal RNA", at positions 524 to 776 of the family's 1533-position model. The record is from RNAcentral.
UACGUAGGGUGCGAGCGUUAAUCGGAAUUACUGGGCGUAAAGCGUGCGCAGGCGGUUCUGCAAGUCAGGCGUGAAAUCCCCGGGCUUAACCUGGGAAUGGCGCUUGAAACUACGGGACUGGAGUAUGGCAGAGGGAGGUGGAAUUCCACGUGUAGCGGUGAAAUGCGUAGAGAUGUGGAGGAACACCGAUGGCGAAGGCAGCCUUCUGGGCCAACACUGACGCUCAUGCACGAAAGCGUGGGGAGCAAACAGG